Molecule: long non-coding RNA, 2289 nt
Organism: Hordeum vulgare subsp. vulgare (domesticated barley)
Lineage: Eukaryota; Viridiplantae; Streptophyta; Magnoliopsida; Poales; Poaceae
Exons: 4
Source: RefSeq, a predicted model, not a curated record
UUGUCGACGAUGCCAACACCCCUACUGGGGAACCUCUUCCGUGCCAGCCGUGCCACCGUCGUACCCGAGUCCGACCCGAGCCAACCUAUGGGUAGUAGGGGGGCAUGGGAUGUCAGUGACAUCUGCGAGGACCACCUUGAGUACCUCCGACACCUCUGCUACCUACCACCACAAUACGCCGCGGAGUCGCGGCUGCCUAGGGCUAAGAACAUCCCAGCACCCAGGUCGGCAAAGUGGUUGUAUUUUAUGAACACUUCGUUGGAAGAUUCGGGCAGCGGGCCAGCACGUUCUUUCGGCGGUUCCUCGCCAGGUUCGAGCUGCAGCCUCACCACCUCGGAGCCAGCUCCAUCUCGCAGCUUUCUGCCUUACUCACACUACGCGAGGGGUAUCUUUGUAUCGAGCCACGGCUUGGCCUGUGGUGCCGCUUCUUCUGCCUCAAGAAGCAGACGGUGGAGGACAAGGCGAGAGGGAUGAAGCAAAUGACUGCCCGCGGGGCGGCCCUUGUAUACAACCGGCUCGGAGCUGGCUUCCUCAAGCUGCUGCUUCACGAGUCGCUGAAGAACUGGCAGGCUCAUUCUUCUACGUGAAGAACAUGGAUCAGGCACUAGAUCUCAUCAAUCCGUCCCCUUCCUCAACCAGCCCCCGACUGCGCUGCUCCAUUGGGGUGAGAAUCUGCAGCAGGCCAUCAAGGUGGUGAACUAGGCGGUCGACCUGCUCUGGGUGCUGACAGGCGUAGACGGCCUCAAGGCCUUCGGCCUCAUCGCCACCAUGAUAGUACAUCGGGUCCUACCGCCGCAGUGGCGCCCGCAUCGCCUCUAUAAUCAUGUGGGGUAGGCACUACCUAUUCCGAAUCUCCACGAAGGAGCUGAACCAUGUCGCCAUCAUGCGGUAGGUUAACCUGAUCACCACCACCCAGCUAGUGGAGGUGGGGUGGAACUUGGGCAAGGCCCCUUACCACUAGAUGCAUCCGCUACCCAAGGGUUGUAGAACUACAACCAGACAACGGUCGACAAAGAGGACGCGAACACUGAGGAGCCGGUGGACCACGAGGAUGUGGAGCCGGCGGGCAACGAGCCGGUGGAUGAAGAGGUGGUGGGCAACAUUCUGAUGGACGAGGAGCUGGUGACCGUGUAGUCGGAGGGCUAGGAGGCCCCCAGUGGAGGAUCGAGAGCCGGCGACCUGAAACUAGACGGCGAGUUCCCCUCUUCCAAUCACUUGCAAGACUAGACACACGACGGUGACUCUGAUGUCUGAGAAGUUCAUGAUGCAGUGUGGGCACAGGCCAUGCAGAGGGAUGACCUCGAGGCGAGGGGUCGACUCUGCAGAUGGUCCCCGAGCCAGUGCCCGAGGGUUCGGUGGUGUCCGAGCACGCGCAAGGGAAACUUUUGGCCGCUCCUAGGCCAGCAACCAAGCGAGAGACCGGUACGCAUCCCCACGGCGGCAACGGAGGAGGCCGGAAGAAAGCAUGCAUCACCUCCUCGGGAUCGGUGCGAAGGCGCGCGAUCCCUACGACCGUCAGGGCCCCAUGUGCCCUAGGAGCGGAGGCUGAGGCGGGUAUAAGUGGCACUAGCGAUGCGCUCUGGGGAGGCACGAUUGUCUUGGAGGAGCGGGAACAUGCCGCCUGGCGGGAGGAGGAGACCGCCAAGCGACAUGGUCGAAGGAGCAGCGCCACUAGUGGGAGAACGUGGCAAGGGAGUCCGAAGUCGCGGUGGGGGAAUACCCCAUCCAUGUCUUUGUCACACGCGGGAGGGUGAGCUGAGACUGACGCCCAUGCCACGACACAGAGGCACGCUCUGUCUGAGGACAUGCCAGACAUGGAGUCCCCCUUGAGGCAUGAGGGUGACCGUGCGGAGGACCCCGAUGCGAGGUAGGGUGACGAUGAGGCUGAGAGGAGCGGAGUUGGAGGCAGCAGCGGCGCCUCGGACAUUAUAGUGCAGGAGCCGCCAGUGGUUCAUGCAAUCGGCUCCGUGCAGACGCUGCCGGGACCCAACGUCGGUGCAUCGAGCAGUGUGCCGCCGUCCUGCACCGGGCCCCUUUUUGGGAUGCUGGGGCUGCCGACUCACAGCGGAGCCGGAGCCGGCUUCUGGGCCUAGCUGCAGGAGUCGUGGGCGGUGGCGAGGGAUGCCACUAGCAGGAGUGCCGUGAGCAUGCACGCGGUCUAGUCCGAGUUCACCGACUGCGAAGCGCAGGUGAAGCUCGAUGCGUAGAGGGUGUUGGGCAGGCGGACUCACCUGGACCAGUCCGUGGUGAAAAUCCGUGUGACGAGGGAAUCAGAGCGGAAGACCUCGA